GGGGGGUGGAGGGGGUGAUAUUCUCCAUCUCAACUGCCAAUUAGGACAAUGAGGUUCCUCUUUGGGUUCCUGAGCGCUGUGUGCACCCUGUGGCUGCUGACGAAUCCCAACAUGGCAGAGACCUAUUGGGCCUUCGUGAAAAAACUCUCCCCUUCUGAUGCCAGUGGGGAUUGAGAGCCCAAUACAGCCGACCUUGACAAGCAUUAACAUAACCCUAGGAACUGUAGCCAUGCAGUUGGAUUCUUCCGAAGAGCUUAACUCGUGCUGGGAUCAAGAAAAAUGGGCCUUGGUAGUUCGUGUUCCUGGAGUUGUGUCCAUGCCAGUGGACCAUGGCAGUAGACACAGAUGGUGCUCACACGCUCCAGAAGAGAAUUUGACUUCACUGCAGUUGUUGUUGCUACUACAGCGGUAGUGGCCACCACUGCUACUGUUUCUGGGAUUGUUUUUUCACAAUUGGUUACUACAGCUAGUACAGUGGAGAC
This is a long non-coding RNA of Peromyscus eremicus (cactus mouse), 482 nucleotides long. RefSeq lists it as uncharacterized. The record is from RefSeq and is a predicted model, not a curated record. The transcript is spliced from 3 exons. NCBI's taxonomy places the organism in Eukaryota, Metazoa, Chordata, Mammalia, Rodentia, Cricetidae.